This 719-nucleotide long non-coding RNA is filed under the name Helianthus annuus (common sunflower). RNAcentral describes it as "sRNA HanXRQr2_Chr02g0065611". Lineage: Eukaryota; Viridiplantae; Streptophyta; Magnoliopsida; Asterales; Asteraceae. The record is from RNAcentral.
UUGGUUGUAUCUGAACUACAAAGACUUCCGUUGCUCUUCUAUAGACCAUCUUUUGAACCGCAACCAGUUCCAGUUCCCAUGUGCUCUUUUCUUUGCCUUCUCACGUGGUCUCAGUUAUUUAGUUGUCUUUAUUAUAAAUACAACUGGCCAGCUGUCAUGUGAUUCCUCUUCCACUUUCACAGGUUGAUCCCCGCACUGGAUUUUUUCAUCUGGUGUAGGUUCGAUCACCCUCGUCGGUCCAUCUUCUAGUAGGGCCUCUAAAUAAUCUAGAUCACCUAUAGUACCAAGCUCUAAUACUUCUUCAUACUCUGGUAAACCCUCUAACUCUCCAGCAAGCUCUCCCUCCCAAAACAACACAUCCUCACUCUCAUCAUCUUCCACCUCUACACCAAACAACAUGGGACUUAAGGCAACAAGGAACGCAAGAUCGAGUAAAUCAUCCAAGUAGGUUCACUGCGAGCUUGGAAUGAACACACCGCUCUCAAGCGCUUCCGAUAUGACUAAAGGCCAAACGUGUCAAAACUUUUGUAGUAAACUUUUACGGUCAAAGUCUAGUUUGUGUUAAAUGCUUUUUUUAAACUCUUGUUUUGUAUGCAAGUUAUGGUAGUUUGUUAGUACAACUAUGUAUUUUUAACUUGGGAAUGUUAAACUUGGUUUCUUUAGAAAUUUUGUAAGUAGCGUUUGAAAAGUGCUAAAAAUUUACCCAUUUUAGUUGUUGU